Molecule: long non-coding RNA, 448 nt
Organism: Stegodyphus dumicola
Lineage: Eukaryota; Metazoa; Arthropoda; Arachnida; Araneae; Eresidae
Source: RefSeq, a predicted model, not a curated record
ACUGAAUUAAUUGAAUGAGAAAUAUAUCUCUAAUGAAAUUCAAGGAAAUAAAUGUUUCAGCAAACAUUGUCACCAUUCCAUCUCGAACAGAGGAGAAUGUUUAUGAGUAGCACAUGCUCAUUAGAAAAUCAUCAUGAAAAUCAAGUUCCCUUAAAAGAUCAUCAGAGAAUUUAAUACUCCUUCAGCAGUUACAUCCUUACAUUCUGUUGUAUCAAGGAAGGAGUUGUGUCUGGUCUCCCAUCCUAACCACUUCAUCUCCAGGUUUGACGACUAUUUUUAUGUCGGGAUUCACUAUUCCAAUGUCAUAUCAGAAAAGGCAAGAACUUUUACCUUCUGAAAGGUUUACUUUUUUUUUGCCUUUUGAAGCAUUAAAAGAGCUGCCUGAAAUUUUUUAAGCAUUGCCUUUUUGCCUUCAAAAAAAGCAUUAGUAUAUGAAAAAGAAUUUUGA